UACAGAGGGUGCGAGCGUUGUCCGGAAUCACUGGGCGUAAAGGGCGCGUAGGUGGCGCGACAAGUCAGUGGUGAAAGUUCGACGCUCAACGUCGAAUCGGCCACUGAUACUGUUGGGCUUGAGCACUGUAGAGGCUAAUGGAAUUCCGGGUGUAGCGGUGGAAUGCGUAGAGAUCCGGAAGAACACCGGUGGCGAAGGCGGCUGACUGGACCUGACCUGACGCUGAGGCGCGAAGGCGUGGGGAGCGAACGGG
This 253-nucleotide ribosomal RNA is filed under the name uncultured bacterium. Its description in RNAcentral is "partial 16S ribosomal RNA". It matches the Rfam family "Bacterial small subunit ribosomal RNA", at positions 524 to 776 of the family's 1533-position model. The record is from RNAcentral.